CCCACUAAAAGACCCAGACUGGCUCACUUUGGUCACAUGCCCGUCCCUGGAUCAAACUGUGACCUGUGGAGUGGCAUAUUCUAACUGAUCAGGUUGGACAACCAGAUGGAACUGAACUUUCUGGAAAAGCUCCUUAAGAGGGAUUUUCUCAUCUGGAAAAGACAUCCUUGGUGCUUCUUGCAACUUGUACCUAAUGUUAGGAGUUCCAGUAACCAUCUUGUGUCCUUGAAGUUGGAAACUAUGGUAACCAGAGAGAUAGAAUGCCUUCAAGUCCUUAAAGUGUUUGUGGAACUGCCACAGCGGCCCUGGACUGGCUGCCUCUGUACAUCCGGUACAUGUGAUACACAACUGAUAUUUAAGGAACUGAAAGCUUUACCAAUUUACUGCUUUAUUACUUUCUGAAUGCAAUUCCCAGGUUAUAAAUUUGUUCUCUUUGUGUAUCUGAAAUUCUGUUUUGUUUUUACAUACUUCUCUCCUUUUUUUCAAUAUUCAAAUCAUCUCUCCACACUAACAUCAAUAAAACUAAUUACUGUG
This is a long non-coding RNA of Hyaena hyaena (striped hyena), 534 nucleotides long. RefSeq lists it as uncharacterized. The transcript is spliced from 2 exons. NCBI's taxonomy places the organism in Eukaryota, Metazoa, Chordata, Mammalia, Carnivora, Hyaenidae. The record is from RefSeq and is a predicted model, not a curated record.